GCGCCCGUAGCUCAGCAGGAUAGAGCAUCAGAUUCCUAAUCUGGGGGCCCCGCGUUCGAAUCGCGGCGGGCGCACCA
RNAcentral lists this transfer RNA (77 nucleotides) under Sphingopyxis granuli. RNAcentral's name for it is "tRNA-Arg". It matches the Rfam family "tRNA". From Rfam's summary of the family: Transfer RNA (tRNA) molecules are approximately 80 nucleotides in length. Their secondary structure includes four short double-helical elements and three loops (D, anti-codon, and T loops). The record is from RNAcentral. Lineage: Bacteria; Pseudomonadati; Pseudomonadota; Alphaproteobacteria; Sphingomonadales; Sphingopyxidaceae.